RNAcentral lists this ribosomal RNA (360 nucleotides) under uncultured Glomus. RNAcentral describes it as "partial 28S large subunit ribosomal RNA". It matches the Rfam family "Eukaryotic large subunit ribosomal RNA", at positions 236 to 549 of the family's 3401-position model. Lineage: Eukaryota; Fungi; Glomeromycota; Glomeromycetes; Glomerales; Glomeraceae. The record is from RNAcentral.
GUUUUACCGUAUGACGUUCAUUCUAGAGUCAAGUUGUUUGGGAUUGCAGCUUAAAUGGGAGGUAAAUUUCUCCUAAGGCUAAAUAACGGCGAGAGACCGAUAGCGAACAAGUACCGUGAGGGAAAGAUGAAAAGAACUUUGAAAAGAGAGUUAAACAGUACGUGAAAUUGUUGAAAGGGAAACGAUUGAAGCCAGUCGUACCUUCGGGUAAUCAGCCUUUUGGGUGCGAUUAUGUGGAGCGUGAGGAGCUAAACCCCCUCCUGGCUUCGCAUUCUCGCACUUUGGGUGUACUUGGCCCGGGGGGUGGGUAACAUCCAUUUUGGGGGGCAUAAAAUGGCUGGAGGAAUGGUGUACUUCAAU